UACGAAGGGUGCGAGCGUUAUUCGGAAUCACUGGGCGUAAAGGGUGCGUAGACGGUACAUUAAGUUCGUCGUUAAAGGCUCCGGCCUAACCGGAGUAUUGCGAUGAAAACUGGUGAGCUAGAGGGUGAGAGAGAGAAGUGGAAUUCCCGGAGUAGCGGUAAAAUGCGUGGAUCUCGGGAGGAACACCAAUGGCGAAGGCAGCUUCUUGGCUCAUUCCUGACGUUGAGGCACGAAAGCGUGGGGAGCAAACAGG
RNAcentral lists this ribosomal RNA (253 nucleotides) under uncultured bacterium. RNAcentral describes it as "partial 16S ribosomal RNA". It matches the Rfam family "Bacterial small subunit ribosomal RNA", at positions 524 to 776 of the family's 1533-position model. The record is from RNAcentral.